This 497-nucleotide ribosomal RNA is filed under the name uncultured bacterium. RNAcentral's name for it is "partial 16S ribosomal RNA". It matches the Rfam family "Bacterial small subunit ribosomal RNA", at positions 28 to 507 of the family's 1533-position model. The record is from RNAcentral.
GACGAACGCUGGCGGCGUGCCUAAUACAUGCCAGUUGAGCGCUGAAGGUUGGUACUUGUACCGACUGGAUGAGCAGCGAACGGGUGAGUAACGCGUGGGGAAUCUGCCUUUGAGCGGGGGACAACAUUUGGAAACGAAUGCUAAUACCGCAUAAAAACUUUAAACACAAGUUUUAAGUUUGAAAGAUGCAAUUGCAUCACUCAAAGAUGAUCCCGCGUUGUACUAGCUAGUUGGUGAGGUAAAGGCUCACCAAGGCGAUGAUACAUAGCCGACCUGAGAGGGUGAUCGGCCACAUUGGGACUGAGACACGGCCCAAACUCCUACGGGAGGCAGCAGUAGGGAAUCUUCGGCAAUGGACGAAAGUCUGACCGAGCAACGCCGCGUGAGUGAAGAAGGUUUUCGGAUCGUAAAACUCUGUUGGUAGAGAAGAACGUUGGUGAGAGUGGAAAGCUCAUCAAGUGACGGUAACUACCCAGAAAGGGACGGCUAACUACGUG